Molecule: long non-coding RNA, 230 nt
Filed under: Phoenix dactylifera (date palm)
Lineage: Eukaryota; Viridiplantae; Streptophyta; Magnoliopsida; Arecales; Arecaceae
Description: long non-coding RNA (PDAC_LNC012535)
Source: RNAcentral
GCACGCUGGAAGGCAUAACGGCUAGUUUUUUCUUGAUUCCAACGGCUCUAUUUUUGUCUCUAACGGCUAGAUUUUUGUUUCCACUCCCUCUAAAGCUAUAAAAUCAAGAGGAGAGCUAGGGAAGAGGGUAUGGAAGUGGGAGAGAACAUUUAGGGAAGAGAUUUCAAAGAGAUUACAAGGAAAAUCUUCCAAAAGCACAAAAGGGCCAUUCAAAGCAAAAUAGAGAGAAG